CCAACCCAAGGGCCGGGGGGGGGGGGGGGGGGGCUGCGCUCGGGUUUCACUCGGGUGGAAAGUGGGCACCGACACCAGAAACGCUGCACGGAUCUCACGCCGACUCCAGGUUUCAUGAUAUUUAAAUAUUUAUUUAAAUUUAAAAAUACUUCUCAUGGCACCGAUGAUUUUAUGCUAACUAAGAUAUUGAAUAUGUAGAAAAAGGUACAUUUUGAAGGAAAAAUGUAACUUACAGUAUUUGGCACAUGGAAGGUUAAUUUCUAGAUUUUUUUUUUUUAUGAAAACUAAGAAAUUCACAUUUUCAGGUAUUUUACCAUCUACUGCUUAAAGAUGCAGUACACUAUUAUGAGAUUUGUUUUUUUUUUUUUUUUCCUCUGGCAUAAGAACCUAUGGAAACGACAUUUUAAUAUAAAGCCAGGUAAAACUAACAGGGAGUGAAACACGAGACGGACUGUGGAACGUACAGGGAAAACGCGCGAUGAAAAGUCGCCAGUUCGGGCGGUUCUGCAGCCACAGGGCGGGUGGGAGCUGUCGCGGGGAAGCCGCGGCGGGGGCCGGGGGGGAGCGGGGCGCUGCUGUCGCGACAUCAGGCAGCACGGCCGCGGGACGGACACACGGACGCACGCGGACACACACGGACGCGCGCGCUCACUCGGCGUCUCCAACCCGGGGCGAAAAACGGCAGGUUCGGGACUACCACGCGCUGCAUAGAGACACCACUGACUGCGGGCUGAGGUACAACUUUUGGAGGCUAAAGGUCUUCCUAAAUAAAUCCGACACGGUCACUACUGGCUCCGCGCCCGGGCUUGGCCGGCGUGCUCGCGCCUGCCCGUGCUCUCCCCGCCCUCGGGAGCACUGACACUUCAAGGCUUCGGAAAAACAACAAAAAAAAAUGAAAAUAAAAGUGAUGAAAGGCCAAGCCUGCGGGGAGAGGGCUCCCCUUGGACCGGGGGAGGAGUGGGGUUGUCCCCCCGGCAGCGCAUCGGCGCAGAGGAGGCUCCGGCUGGCGGGGAGGGGUGUGGGGGGGUGGGUGGUUCUGCAAAGCCGUGGCAAGGGGGGGGUGGGUGGGUGGGUGGGUGUGCACAGUGGCGGAUUCAAUAACGUAACAGUACACGAGUGUUUCAAUCACUACUCAGUAGCACCAGUGCUAAAGCUCCUGCGCAGCGCAGCGUCGCGAGCCGCCCGGCCGGCGCGCGGGCAAGGACGGGCGGUAAUAAUAAAAUUAAUUCCUCCCUCUGC
Molecule: long non-coding RNA, 1239 nt
Organism: Tyto alba (common barn owl)
Lineage: Eukaryota; Metazoa; Chordata; Aves; Strigiformes; Tytonidae
Exons: 2
Source: RefSeq, a predicted model, not a curated record